GCCUUCGUGGUGUAACGGUUAACACACUCGGCGUAUAUUCGAGAGGUUUAGGCUCGAGUCCUGGAGCAGGCA
This 72-nucleotide transfer RNA is filed under the name Stegodyphus mimosarum. It matches the Rfam family "tRNA". From Rfam's summary of the family: Transfer RNA (tRNA) molecules are approximately 80 nucleotides in length. Lineage: Eukaryota; Metazoa; Arthropoda; Arachnida; Araneae; Eresidae. The record is from Rfam by way of RNAcentral.